CAUGCAGGCGGUCUGUUAAGCAAGAUGUGAAAGCCCGGGGCUCAACCUCGGAACAGCAUUUUGAACUGGCAGACUAGAGUCUUGUAGAGGGGGGUAGAAUUUCAGGUGUAGCGGUGAAAUGCGUAGAGAUCUGAAGGAAUACCGGUGGCGAAGGCGGCCCCCUGGACAAAGACUGACGCUCAGAUGCGAAAGCGUGGGGAGCAAACA
Molecule: ribosomal RNA, 207 nt
Filed under: uncultured Photobacterium sp.
Lineage: Bacteria; Pseudomonadati; Pseudomonadota; Gammaproteobacteria; Vibrionales; Vibrionaceae
Description: partial 16S ribosomal RNA
Rfam family: Bacterial small subunit ribosomal RNA
Source: RNAcentral